This 73-nucleotide transfer RNA is filed under the name Saprospiraceae bacterium. Its description in RNAcentral is "tRNA-Trp". It matches the Rfam family "tRNA". Rfam says of the family: Transfer RNA (tRNA) molecules are approximately 80 nucleotides in length. Their secondary structure includes four short double-helical elements and three loops (D, anti-codon, and T loops). RNAcentral also lists the same sequence under 1 other name. Lineage: Bacteria; Pseudomonadati; Bacteroidota; Saprospiria; Saprospirales; Saprospiraceae. The record is from RNAcentral.
AGGGGAGUAGCUCAAUUGGUAGAGUGGCGGUCUCCAAAACCGUAGGUCGCAGGUUCGAGCCCUGUCUCCCCUG